CGAUGAGUCAUUGAUCUGGUUCAAGGGCUCAUGGCCCUCACUGGGACUCCUCUUGGUCAUCUUGCUUCCUCCCUCACCACUCCAUGUGCGGCCUUCCCAAAGCUGCACAGGGUCAAAGAGGAUAACCUUCCCCAAAUAGAGGAGGACCAGUCUUCGGCCAAGACUAUGCUUCCCUGCUAGAACCUCCAAACAAGGUCUCAAGUAUACACAAUUUAAAGAACAGAUCUGUUACAACAACAAAAAAAAAUUGACUGGCAGAUUUUGAACAUACACCUGCAUGCAAAAGGUUUUCAAGU
This is a non-coding RNA of Cricetulus griseus (Chinese hamster), 296 nucleotides long. The record is from Rfam. NCBI's taxonomy places the organism in Eukaryota, Metazoa, Chordata, Mammalia, Rodentia, Cricetidae.